CCUCCCUGCCCGCCUCUCUGCAG
This 23-nucleotide microRNA is filed under the name Homo sapiens (human). RNAcentral describes it as "hsa-miR-7113-3p". Lineage: Eukaryota; Metazoa; Chordata; Mammalia; Primates; Hominidae. The record is from miRBase by way of RNAcentral.